UUGCAUUUGUAAUCCUAAACUGAAUAGGUUCUCUACCUCUUCUGAUUAGCUUGGGUAACCAUGAUAUACUGCUAGGUGUCACUCUUGGUUUGUGGAAGCCCUAAACGUGUAUAAACACUAAAGGGAGAAUUGAAAGUACGUUUCAAUUCACAAUCGAUUUUAAGAGUUUUAAUCGCCCACUGCCUCGUUAAAAGGAACCUAAU
RNAcentral lists this long non-coding RNA (203 nucleotides) under Malus domestica (apple). RNAcentral describes it as "long non-coding RNA (MDOM_LNC007354)". Lineage: Eukaryota; Viridiplantae; Streptophyta; Magnoliopsida; Rosales; Rosaceae. The record is from RNAcentral.